Non-coding RNA from Anas platyrhynchos (mallard), 833 nucleotides. NCBI's taxonomy places the organism in Eukaryota, Metazoa, Chordata, Aves, Anseriformes, Anatidae. The record is from RefSeq and is a predicted model, not a curated record.
GUUGGGCCAAUGCUACUAUGUUCCAUCUUCCCUAUCUUGCUCCUUCAUUUCCAGAGUCCUGGGCAAGUCCAGAGGGAUUAUAGUUCUUGUUGUAUCAGUUUCACCAUACUCUUUCACCUCAGAGUUCCACCUUCCUAAAGGCAGAAAUUAGGCCAAGUCUGUAGUCCUCCUCUAACAUCCCUUCAGUUGUACAAGAAUUAGACAAAUGCAGUCACUUCUCAUAGGAUGAGCUUGUUCAGGCAAUGCACUGGUGUAAAGGUUUCUCCAGGAAUUUGUUAGGCUAAGAAAAAUGUUGUUGGUACAGAACUGUGUGCAAGCAGAGGCUAACACUCUGAAAACCAGCCCUAAUUUUAAUCUCAUCAACAUGUGAACACAUGGCAUGGUCCUGCUUGCAUCUCAAAAUAUGCAUACAGAGCCUAAAAACCACACAGCUUCAGAGAAGUCAGAGAUAUGUAUACACAGAACCAUGUCAGCAAUGACUCAACCACAGAUGAUAAAAGAAGAUUUUGCAUGGUGGUGUUAGAACAUCUGUUUCUGUGAUUCAAUGGAAAAAGUACUUCAUGAGAAAACAGGGCAAUGGGAGUCAAACAAGUUGUAAUUGCUAGGUUGGUUAAAGUUAAGAGACAUGAAUCUCAACACAAAUUACCUCAGGAAAACUAAGGAAAACAAAGAACAAGAUAAGAGUAAUUACACAGAGUUUUAUAAAAGUUAUGUGUCCAGACUUAUGAAGAAGUACAAACUUCAAUACAGAAAUCAAAUCAUCAUUGCAAUCAGUGUAUUUACCAUCUUCAGGAGUUCUCACAAAAACAUCAUUCUCUUCAGACAAAGCACUU